Molecule: long non-coding RNA, 1366 nt
Organism: Sorghum bicolor (sorghum)
Lineage: Eukaryota; Viridiplantae; Streptophyta; Magnoliopsida; Poales; Poaceae
Exons: 2
Source: RefSeq, a predicted model, not a curated record
UUCCUUUAGGAGGUUCAGUGCUUGUUGGUGUUUCAGAUGAUGGCUUGUGCUUUGAAGUGACUGGUGAUGGCCUGACGGACCCUGCAAAGGUGAGUGGUAAACUGCAUUAGACAUAAAUUUCUAUUGUCUGCUCAUUUAGUUGUUCAGAUUCUUCUUGUCAUUUGCUGAACAAAUUUGAAGAGCAUGUAUAUGAAUAUGUUAUAUCACUGAAUGAAAGCCAAUUUCAUCCAUAACAGUUAAGAACUAGACAUGAAUUGCAGUAGUAUGUAUAACACCAAAAUACAUGUGACGCUGACAGGGAAACAGAUAGUGCAUAAUAUAAUUGCUACACGGAUUCGGUUCAGAGAGGAAUAUAUAUACAUAACCCAGAGGGAAGACAGUGGCACAGGGGUGUCAUUCGUCCUUAAAACAAAGAUACACUGAAUGGUCGGUAUUUGGAGGUCUAAUCACAUCUGCAGGAAACCACUGAGCCUGGUACGGUAUACAUUCUUUAACUACAGGUAUCCAGCUAUAAAAUUGAUGUGCAGAAGAACAGGACGUAUUGGGGGAUUGCAGAUUUUGGAUCUGUAUACUCCUGCAUUGUAUUUAAUUUGUUUCUUAAUUGUUUGAUCUGUUUGCCGACAUGGCUCCUAAUAAUCCUUUUCUAUGCUAUCAGAUUGAACAGUACAAAACAUGCUAAUUCCUUAUUUCUCUUUGCAAUCAGUGGCAGGAGCAUCUUGUGAUUCUUACCAGAUUCCCUGGGAGGCGCUUCAUUCUGGCUUGGGGCCUUCUUCACAACCGUGACCUCCCUGGCCUCCAGCCUCCGGGGAGGCAUCUUCUUCUCAGGCUUGAAACACCCAAAGCAGCUCAUCAUCUCCCAACUAACGCACAGACAAAUCUGCAGACCUCGUUGUGUGGACAAUGGGAGCAUGGGUGGGUGUCUAUAUGCCGCAUCAUCAUCAUCCUCCUCCCUCCUUGUGCUGAAGAUCUCGCAUACAGGCAAUCGAUCGGGUGUUGGUGCUUUGUGCGCGGUAAAUGUGAUCUCUGUGGGGAAAUGUGGUCAGAUGGGAUGAGCAUUUGCUUCAUGCCUUUGCGCGGAGGAGGAUUUGCUGAGCCAAGAAUAGGCUCCUGGGGGUCCUAAACUUAGAAGUGCUUCGCGUCUUCCAGGAUCUGUGUCCCAGCUAACGCGCUGGAUGUAAUGUCUUCCCUUGGAGAGUCCCAACUCCAUCUAGGAAGAAAACACCGCUGGAUUGUUUCUUUUUGAUAGAAAUGUCAAUGUCAAUUACAUUGGAACACGUUGGGUUUUUACUCGGUGAUAAACUGGCCACCAGUUGAGUUGAGCUUGAUAAGCUCAAAGCCUGAUUUUGGUCGGUGUCGGUUUUAUGUG